RNAcentral lists this unclassified non-coding RNA (325 nucleotides) under soil metagenome. Its description in RNAcentral is "partial contains 5.8S ribosomal RNA, internal transcribed spacer 2, and large subunit ribosomal RNA". The stretch from base 1 to 120 matches the Rfam family "5.8S ribosomal RNA", at positions 35 to 154 of the family's 154-position model. The record is from RNAcentral.
GAUGAAGAACGUAGCGAAAUGCGAUAAGUAAUGCGAAUUGCAGAAUUCAGUGAGUCAUCGAAUCUUUGAACGCACAUUGCGCCCUGUGGUAUUCCGCAGGGCAUGCCUGUUCGAGCGUCAUUUCAACCCUCAAGCCCCGCUUGGUGUUGGGCCCCGCCCGCCGUGGCCGGCCCUAAAGACAGUGGCGGCGCCGCCUGGCCCUCAGCGUAGUACAGCUCUCGCUCCAGGGUCCGGCGGCCGCCUGCCAGAACCCCCCCAACUCUGUGGUUGACCUCGGAUCAGGUAGGGAUACCCGCUGAGAUUAAGCAUAUCAAUAAGCGGAGGA